This 434-nucleotide ribosomal RNA is filed under the name Lycus sp. UPOL LF0161. Its description in RNAcentral is "partial 28S large subunit ribosomal RNA". It matches the Rfam family "Eukaryotic large subunit ribosomal RNA", at positions 849 to 1277 of the family's 3401-position model. The record is from RNAcentral. Lineage: Eukaryota; Metazoa; Arthropoda; Insecta; Coleoptera; Lycidae.
AAGUCAGGGGAAACCCUGAUGGAGGUCCGAAGCGAUUCUGACGUGCAAAUCGAUCGUCGGAACUGGGUAUAGGGGCGAAAGACUAAUCGAACCAUCUAGUAGCUGGUUCCCUCCGAAGUUUCCCUCAGGAUAGCUGGCGCUCGCUUUUGCGAGUCUCAUCUGGUAAAGCGAAUGAUUAGAGGCAUUGGGGUCGAAACGGCCUCAACCUAUUCUCAAACUUUAAAUGGGUGAGAUCUUCGGCUUGCUUGAGUAGUGAAGCCGCGAGAUCGGAUCAGAGUGCCAAGUGGGCCAUUUUUGGUAAGCAGAACUGGCGCUGUGGGAUGAACCAAACGCAGAGUUAAAGCUCCUAAAUCUACGCUUAUUAGAUACCAUGAAAGGCGUUGGUAACUUAAGACAACAGGACGGUGGCCAUGGAAGUCGGAAUCCGCUAAGGA